Molecule: non-coding RNA, 30 nt
Filed under: Homo sapiens (human)
Lineage: Eukaryota; Metazoa; Chordata; Mammalia; Primates; Hominidae
Source: RNAcentral
UCUGCUGGUGACACCCAGGCAAAUAGGGUC